CCAGUGGAACUCUCGCGCUUGGAAGAGGGAACCCCUCGCGAAUGGAGGAAGAAGAGUGGCACUAACACCACCUGCGGUGAUCCCAUUCGUCUGUUGCAACAACGUCGGCGCUGGCGAGAUCAGUCACAGGGGACGGGGGUUGUGCUAGUGUCAAAUAUGGGAUAAAGGAAAACCCUGGGCGGUGAAGAAAGAAGAGAAAGGUCGCGCUUGACGCUGGCAAUGGCUCCGGUGACUGCCUACGACGCCGUCCAGCCCCCUGUGGUGCCCCGCGUCUUCGCCGGUGACUAGAUGAAGGUCAGUGCAGCAGGG
Molecule: long non-coding RNA, 309 nt
Filed under: Vigna radiata
Lineage: Eukaryota; Viridiplantae; Streptophyta; Magnoliopsida; Fabales; Fabaceae
Description: long non-coding RNA (VRAD_LNC011095)
Source: RNAcentral